CCCCUGGGGGCGUGCACUGGGAUCUCAGGCGGCGGAGCUGCCGACGGGAGGCUGGUGGAAUCCGGUUUCCUGGAAGGCCGCCUCCCGCCGGUGCUCGGUCCUGUGUUUCCAUUAGGACCAUCUUCUAUUGCAAAAUCUGCUAGGAAAUCUAGAGGCCUCCAAGGACCUGGCUGGGCUUCAACUCUGUGGCUGAAUUUGAGAUGAGUAAACCAGACUGAAGAACCUUGCUCAAGGCCUGCGUCAGCUGCCAACAACCCACACUUGCCAAGAGAGAGGAAGGCAGCUUGGUCACCUCCCGAGGGAGCGCUUCUGCCAUCAGAAAGCCACCCCAACCCCUGGCACAGGAAGAGCUGGGCUGCAGUCUGACUACCAUUAACAGUUCACCUUCCUCAGAAGACACUUGUCUGGAUCUCAGUGUCCUCAUUUGUGGCAUAAGAACUCUGGAAUAAGCCAAAAAGAAGCAUGAGUGGGCCAACUCAGCCUCUGGAAAGAAGAGGAGCAGGAGAAAGAAGGGGAAGAAGAAGGAAGCCUAUUUUAGUUACAUGGGGAAAGUCCUGAAGCAAAGCCACCCUGACUUCAGUGGGCGCUCCUGGGUCUUGGAUGCACUGGGCUCUCUGGAUGAUUGGCAACUGGAGUGGGUUAGCCUGGAGGCAUUUAGAUUGUCCUUCUACAACCACAGAAGAGCUGUCACUGGCAGAGAGAUCCUUGGAGCAGUCAAGCAGAGAGCCUCUCAGAAGAGCUUUUGAAUAAAUGAAGUUGUUC
This is a long non-coding RNA of Lemur catta (Ring-tailed lemur), 762 nucleotides long. RefSeq lists it as uncharacterized. Lineage: Eukaryota; Metazoa; Chordata; Mammalia; Primates; Lemuridae. The transcript is spliced from 4 exons. The record is from RefSeq and is a predicted model, not a curated record.